GAAAUCUCCUAUAAAUGGUUUGAGGGACAUCAACUACCCUGUCUAGUCAGUGACUUCAUUGGGGAUUCUUUAGGUAAUUAUAUAUUAUAUAGUUAUAAAAUUGACUUUAAGAGACUCUAUUAACUAACUUUAAUUUUACUUUACAAAAAGUAAAGAAGCAGAUUUUUUUACGACUGAUACCAAACAUUUGAAGUGUCUGGAAUAUGAUCGACGGCUCCAUACCCACUUUGCGCAAAGCUAAAAAAGAAAAUGUUUAAGUAACAGUAUUUAUGGCCAGGCUCGUUUUUAUAAUUUUUUCUAAUUUCAAAACUAUUGCGAUUCUGUGAUAACGAAGUUAGCCACGCAUGUAUCACCAUCUUUGAUUGUCGCGAAAUUGUGUAGAUCAAUGUUUGAAUUAUUAGCUAUAAUUUCAUAAAUAUUUGUCUUUAUUAAUCCUACUAAAAAUAAAAACAUAAUUUUGCAACAAAAAAAAAGCGAAGUUUACCCUACAGUGGUUGUUAGUAAAACUGCCUAGUAUAGCUAGAUGUGACGGCGCAUUAUGGCCAGAUCUCAUUCCGUUUAUUUUUGUUAUGAAAUCUCGACUUACAUUAAUUUUCAAUUUGUCAUACUAUGGUUUAACAGGUUAUCUUGGAUACUUCCAUACCACUUUCCCUUGUUUUCAUGGCCUUUCUUCCAUAUUUCCGUCCACAGAGUAUAAAUGCUUUCGUUAAUAUUUAUAAUAUAAUCAGUAAAAGGAACGUGUUCUCGACACAUAACGGAACUUUUUUAUACGUUUUUACUUAUAAUUUUUAUAUUUCGAACGUAAUGCAUUUUUUCUUCCUUUUUUGUUGCUAUUUAAAAUAACAGCUGUAAAUAUGUCUUCAAACAAACAGUGCGUUUUCUCUUUUUACUUUAUUAUGUAACAUUCCAAGGUUCCUAAAAAUCCAACCGCUAUUUUACAUCCUCUUUAUUUUCCGUCGUCUUUAGAACGGAUAGUGAGUGUGUUUUGUUUGUCAGUGUUUUUUUAUUAUUAAAAUUAGGUGUAAAUA
This is a long non-coding RNA of Papilio xuthus (Asian swallowtail), 1028 nucleotides long. RefSeq lists it as uncharacterized. Lineage: Eukaryota; Metazoa; Arthropoda; Insecta; Lepidoptera; Papilionidae. The transcript is spliced from 2 exons. The record is from RefSeq and is a predicted model, not a curated record.